This 65-nucleotide transfer RNA is filed under the name Eubasilissa regina. RNAcentral's name for it is "tRNA-Pro". Lineage: Eukaryota; Metazoa; Arthropoda; Insecta; Trichoptera; Phryganeidae. The record is from RNAcentral.
CAAAAAAUAGUUUAAUUAAAAUAAUAAUUUUGGAGAUUAUAGAUAAAUAAAAUAUUUUUUUUUGA